This 750-nucleotide long non-coding RNA is filed under the name Gallus gallus (chicken). RNAcentral's name for it is "lncRNA (ENSGALG00010021517.1)". The record is from RNAcentral. Lineage: Eukaryota; Metazoa; Chordata; Aves; Galliformes; Phasianidae.
UUCAUACCUUUCUAUUUGGCAAGAGUAUCCCCAAAACAAAGAUUGAAAAUGAUGGUCUUGUUCUUAAAGGAGAGCUGACUGUGGCCAUGCUGAGCACUUCUCAGGAUGAGACCUGCACAGAUCACCUCACAUUAGAAUUCCAUGUCUGACAGCAGCUUCGGAAAGGCAAUGGCAAAUCAGUCUUUUCUGAGGAGGAUAAACAACUGGCAACAAAUGUAGGCAGGAAAGGGUAGCUGUUCAGAGCAUCCUGCAGCAGGCUUCACCCUUGGUUUCUGCUUGCUUUCUGCCUCUUGAAGAAUAAAUGAAAAUGUAUCUCGAGAAAUGAGGUUCCUAGAAAGAAGUUCAAAUUCCAGAUGGCUGAUACCACCCAGGCACCAGCUGUUGAGGAGGUAACAAAGUCUGCUUUAAAAAAAGAAAUCAUCAAUGCCAAGAUGCUAUUGCUGCACUUUGGGGUUUUGCUUCUGCUGCUUUCAUCUUGCUUUUAGGGCCACACAUGUCCAGGGUGUGUGUACAGUCCUUGGUAUGAGAAUCGCCCUCCUGAUUACCAUCGGAGAACGUAGCACGUACCAAUAUAAGUAUUGUUUUGUUAGAAGUGAAACCUUUACCAAGCAAUACCAAGGAGCAAUCAAAGGUCACCUGGGCACUGGAUACGUUUUCCGUGAAGGCUGAAGCUCAUAACUCAACAAGAGAAUCCACAGUGAUCUCUAAAAGGCUGAUCUCAAAAGAAGUUACACUUCUUGUGUUUUCUUC